UAAGGAAUAUUGGGCAAUGGGGGAAACCCUGACCCAGCAACGCCGCGUGCAGGAUGAAGGCCCUCGGGUCGUAAACUGCUGUCGGGAGGGAAGAAAAGCAGCGGGAGGAAAUGACCGCUGCCUGACGGUACCUCCAAAGGAAGCGCCGGCUAACUCCGUGCCAGCAGCCGCGGUAAUACGGAGGGCGCAAGCGUUGUUCGGAAUUACUGGGCGUAAAGCGCGUGUAGGCGGUCUGGCAAGUCGGUUGUGAAAUCCCCGGGCUCAACCCGGGAACUGCAUCCGAAACUUCCAGGCUAGAGUUUCGGAGAGGAAGGCAGAAUUCCCAAUGUAGGGGUGAAAUCCGUAGAUAUUGGGAGGAAUACCAGUGGCGAAGGCGGCCUUCUGGACGAUGACUGACGCUGAGACGCGAAAGCGUGGGGAGCAAACAGGAUUAGAUACCCAUGUAGUCCCUGAGCGGGCUGGCAAGGCGCAU
This 472-nucleotide ribosomal RNA is filed under the name uncultured bacterium. RNAcentral describes it as "bacterial SSU rRNA". It matches the Rfam family "Bacterial small subunit ribosomal RNA", at positions 355 to 825 of the family's 1533-position model. The record is from RNAcentral.